This 118-nucleotide ribosomal RNA is filed under the name Labrus bergylta (ballan wrasse). Lineage: Eukaryota; Metazoa; Chordata; Actinopteri; Labriformes; Labridae. The record is from RNAcentral.
GCUUACGGCCAUACCACCCUGAACACGCCCGAUCUCGUCCGAUCUCGGAAGCUAAGCAGGGUCGGGCCUGGUAGUACUUGGAUGGGAGACCGCCUGGGAAUACCAGGUGCUGUAAGCU